This 253-nucleotide ribosomal RNA is filed under the name uncultured bacterium. RNAcentral describes it as "partial 16S ribosomal RNA". It matches the Rfam family "Bacterial small subunit ribosomal RNA", at positions 524 to 776 of the family's 1533-position model. The record is from RNAcentral.
UACGAAGGGGGCUAGCGUUGCUCGGAAUGACUGGUCGUAAAGGGCGCGUAGGCGGAUGGCACAGUCAGAUGUGAAAUUCCUGGGCUUAACCUGGGGGCUGCAUUUGAUACGUGUGAUCUAGAGUGAGGAAGAGGGUUGUGGAAUUCCCAGUGUAGAGGUGAAAUUCGUAGAUAUUGGGAAGAACACCGGUGGCGAAGGCGGCGACCUGGUCCUUAACUGACGCUGAGGCGCGAAAGCGUGGGGAGCAAACAGG